CCAGCACCUCAAGUGGUCAGGAUGAUUAUUGGGCCUAAAGCAUCCGUAGCCGGCUCUGUAAGUUUUCGGUUAAAUCUAUACGCUCAACGUAUGGGCUGCCGAAAAUACUGUAGAGAUAGGGAGUGGGAGAGGUAGACGGUACUCGGUAGGAAGGGGUAAAAUCCUUUGAUCUAUCGAUGACCACCUGUGGCGAAGGCGGUCUACCAGAACACGUUCGACGGUGAGGGAUGAAAGCUGGGGGAGCAAACCGGAUUAGAUACCCGGGUAGUCCCAGCUGUAAACGAUGCAGACUCGAUGAUGCAUUGGCAUAUAGCCAGUGCAGUGUCGCAGGGAAGCCGUUAAGUCUGCCGCCUGGGAAGUACGUACGCAAGUAUGAAACUUAAAGGAAUUGGCGGGGGAGCACCACAAGGGGUGAAGCCUGCGGUUCAAUUGGACUCAACGCCGGGA
This 447-nucleotide ribosomal RNA is filed under the name uncultured marine group I thaumarchaeote. RNAcentral's name for it is "bacterial SSU rRNA". It matches the Rfam family "Archaeal small subunit ribosomal RNA", at positions 476 to 923 of the family's 1478-position model. Lineage: Archaea; Thermoproteati; Nitrososphaerota. The record is from RNAcentral.